Molecule: ribosomal RNA, 502 nt
Filed under: Nesophrosyne sp. 216 GMB-2012
Lineage: Eukaryota; Metazoa; Arthropoda; Insecta; Hemiptera; Cicadellidae
Description: partial 16S ribosomal RNA
Source: RNAcentral
UAAGAAUUUAAAAGUCGAACAGACUUAUCACUAAAGAAGACUGCUUCUUAAAAUUUUCUUAAUUCAACAUCGAGGUCGCAAAAUAUAAUAUAGAUAUGAACUCCCCAUCAAAAUUACGCUGUUAUCCCUAAGGUAACUUAGUCUUACUUCCAACUUAAGGAUCUAAAAAUUACAUAAAUAAAUGAUUCUAAAAACUAAAGUUAAUUAAUUUAGCCACCACCCCAGCAAAAUAUGAAAUUAAUAUUAAAAAAUAUUAAAUUAAAACUAAACAAUAUAAACUCAUAUAAAGUUCUAUAGGGUCUUAUCGUCCCAAUAAUCCAAUAAAGCAUUUUAACUUUAAAUUUAAAUUUUAACAUUUAAAAAAAUAAAAUAUAAUUCUCAUACAUCCAUUCAUACAAGCUUUCAAUUAAAAAACUAAUUACUAUGCUACCUUUGCACAGUCAAAAUACUGCAGCCAUUUAGAAAUUAAACCAUAGGGCAGAAGAUACUUUUUAUAAAAACA